This 1022-nucleotide ribosomal RNA is filed under the name bacterium enrichment culture clone IcA2. RNAcentral's name for it is "bacterial SSU rRNA". It matches the Rfam family "Bacterial small subunit ribosomal RNA", at positions 56 to 1075 of the family's 1533-position model. The record is from RNAcentral.
UCCAAGUCGAGCGGAUGAGAGGAGGCUGCUCCUGGAUCCGCGGCGGACGGGUGAGUAAUGCGUAGGAAUCUGCCUGGUAGUAGGGGACAACGGUUUGAAAGGAACGCGUAAUACCGCAUACGUCCUACGGGAGAAAGCAGGGGACCUUCGGGCCUUGCGCUAUCAGAUGAGCCUAGGUCGGAUUAGCUAGUUGGUGAGGUAAUGGCUCACCAAGGCGACGAUCCGUAACUGGUCUGAGAGGAUGAUCAGUCACACUGGAACUGAGACACGGUCCAGACUCCUACGGGAGGCAGCAGUGGGGAAUAUUGGACAAUGGGCGAAAGCCUGAUCCAGCCAUGCCGCGUGUGUGAAGAAGGUCUUCGGAUUGUAAAGCACUUUAAGUUGGGAGGAAGGGUUGUAGAUUAAUACUCUGCAAUUUUGACGUUACCGACAGAAUAAGCACCGGCUAACUCUGUGCCAGCAGCCGCGGUAAUACAGAGGGUGCAAGCGUUAAUCGGAAUUACUGGGCGUAAAGCGCGCGUAGGUGGUUCGUUAAGUUGGAUGUGAAAUCCCCGGGCUCAACCUGGGAACUGCAUUCAAAACUGUCGAGCUAGAGUAUGGUAGAGGGUGGUGGAAUUUCCUGUGUAGCGGUGAAAUGCGUAGAUAUAGGAAGGAACACCAGUGGCGAAGGCGACCACCUGGACUGAUACUGACACUGAGGUGCGAAAGCGUGGGGAGCAAACAGGAUUAGAUACCCUGGUAGUCCACGCCGUAAACGAUGUCAACUUGCCGUUGGGAGCCUUGAGCUCUUAGUGGCGCAGCUAACGCAUUAAGUUGACCGCCUGGGGAGUACGGCCGCAAGGUUAAAACUCAAAUGAAUUGAUGGGGGCCCGCACAAGCGGUGGAGCAUGUGGUUUAAUUCGAAGUAACGCGAAGAACCUUAACAGGCCUUGACAUCCAAUGAACUUUCCAGAGAUGGAUGGUGCUUCGGUAGCAUUGAGACAGGUGCUGCAUGCCUGUCGUCAGCUCGUGUCGUGAGAUGU